CGGCAACAGCUCAAAUUUGAAAUCUGCCCGCAAGGGCCGAGUUGUAAUUUGUAGAAGAUGCUUCGGGUGUGGUUCCGGUCUAAGUUCCUUGGAACAGGACGUCAUAGAGGGUGAGAAUCCCGUAUGUGACUGGAUACCUAUGCUCAUGUGAAGCUCUUUCGAC
This 163-nucleotide ribosomal RNA is filed under the name Ciboria americana. RNAcentral describes it as "partial large subunit ribosomal RNA". It matches the Rfam family "Eukaryotic large subunit ribosomal RNA", at positions 99 to 261 of the family's 3401-position model. Lineage: Eukaryota; Fungi; Ascomycota; Leotiomycetes; Helotiales; Sclerotiniaceae. The record is from RNAcentral.